UGCCAGCAGCCGCGGUAAUACGUAGGAACCGAGCGUUGUCCGAAUUUACUGGGCGUAAAGAGCGCGUAGGCGGUCUAUUAAGUCUCAUGUGUAAUCUCCCGGCUCAACUGGGAGGGGUCAUGGGAUACUGGUAGACUUGAAGAUAGCAGAGGAAAGCGGAAUUCCCGGAGUAGUGGUGAAAUGCGUAGAUACCGGGAGGAACACCAGAAGCGAAGGCGGCUUUCUGGGUUAUUCUUGACGCUGAGGCGCGAAAGCGUGGGGAGCGAACCGGAUUAGAUA
RNAcentral lists this ribosomal RNA (279 nucleotides) under uncultured bacterium. Its description in RNAcentral is "partial 16S ribosomal RNA". It matches the Rfam family "Bacterial small subunit ribosomal RNA", at positions 506 to 784 of the family's 1533-position model. The record is from RNAcentral.